CGAACGCUGGCGGCGCGUCUUAAGCAUGCAAGUCGAGCGGUAAGAUUGGUGCUUGCACUAAUCCUAGAGCGGCGGACUGGUGAGUAACGCGUGGGUGACGUACCUCUGUGACGGGGACAGCUCCUAGAAAUAGGAGAUAAUACCGGAUACGCUGCAUGUUGUCAGAGGACAUGCAGGAAAGGAUCUUUUGAUUCGCACAGAGAGCGGCCCGCGUACUAUUAGCUUGUUGGUGAGGUAACGGCCCACCAAGGCAACGAUAGUUACCCGGCCUAAGAGGGUGAUCGGGCACAUUGGGACUGAGAUACGGCCCAGACUCCUACGGGAGGCAGCAGCUAAGAAUAUUCCGCAAUGGACGAAAGUCUGACGGAGCGACGCCGCGUGGAUGAUGAAAGGCCGGAAGGUUGUAAAAUCCUUUUAUGACUGAGGAAUAAGUGAAGUGAGAGAAACGCUUCAUGGUGACUGUAGGUCAUGAAUAAGCAACGGCUAAUUACGUGCCAGCCGCCGC
This 505-nucleotide ribosomal RNA is filed under the name uncultured bacterium. Its description in RNAcentral is "bacterial SSU rRNA". It matches the Rfam family "Bacterial small subunit ribosomal RNA", at positions 30 to 518 of the family's 1533-position model. The record is from RNAcentral.